UACGUAGGGUCCGAGCGUUGUCCGGAAUUAUUGGGCGUAAAGGGCUCGUAGGCGGUUCGUCACGUCGGGAGUGAAAACUCGGGGCUUAACCCCGAGCCUGCUUCCGAUACGGGCAGACUAGAGGUAGGCAGGGGAGAGCGGAACUCUGGUGUAGCGGUGGAAUGCGCAGAUAUCAGGAAGAACACCGGUGGCGAAGGCGGCUCCUCUGGGCCUACCUGACGCUGAGGAGCGAAAGCGUGGGGAGCGAACAGG
RNAcentral lists this ribosomal RNA (252 nucleotides) under uncultured bacterium. RNAcentral describes it as "partial 16S ribosomal RNA". It matches the Rfam family "Bacterial small subunit ribosomal RNA", at positions 524 to 776 of the family's 1533-position model. The record is from RNAcentral.